RNAcentral lists this ribosomal RNA (468 nucleotides) under uncultured bacterium. RNAcentral's name for it is "partial 16S ribosomal RNA". It matches the Rfam family "Bacterial small subunit ribosomal RNA", at positions 28 to 507 of the family's 1533-position model. The record is from RNAcentral.
GACGAACGCUGGCGGCGUGCUUAACACAUGCAAGUCGAACGGAAAGGCCCUGCUUUUGUGGGGUGCUCGAGUGGCGAACGGGUGAGUAACACGUGAGUAACCUGCCCUUGACUUUGGGAUAACUUCAGGAAACUGGGGCUAAUACCGGAUAGGAGCUCCUGCUGCAUGGUGGGGGUUGGAAAGUUUCGGCGGUUGGGGAUGGACUCGCGGCUUAUCAGCUUGUUGGUGGGGUAGUGGCUUACCAAGGCUUUGACGGGUAGCCGGCCUGAGAGGGUGACCGGGCACAUGGGGACUGAGAUACGGCGCAGACUCGUACGGGAGGCAGCAGUGGGGAAUAUUGCACAAUGGGCGGAAGCCUGAUGAAGCAACGCCGCGUGCGGGAUGACGGCCUUCGGGUUGUAAACCGCUUUCGCCUGUGACGAAGCGUGAGUGACGGUAAUGGGUAAAGAAGCACCGGCUAACUACGUG